CGGGCGCUGGUGGACGGCGACGGUGCGGCGCGCUUCGUGCGCGUCAGGCAGGCCGAUGCGUUGUUCGAACCUGCGGCGCCGCU
This 83-nucleotide transfer RNA is filed under the name Burkholderia contaminans. RNAcentral describes it as "tRNA-Arg". Lineage: Bacteria; Pseudomonadati; Pseudomonadota; Betaproteobacteria; Burkholderiales; Burkholderiaceae. The record is from RNAcentral.